AGUGAACGCUGGCGGUAGGCCUAACACAUGCAAGUCGAACGGCAGCACAGUAAGAGCUUGCUCUUACGGGUGGCGAGUGGCGGACGGGUGAGGAAUACAUCGGAAUCUACUUUUUCGUGGGGGAUAACGUAGGGAAACUUACGCUAAUACCGCAUACGACCUACGGGUGAAAGCAGGGGAUCUUCGGACCUUGCGCGAUUGAAUGAGCCGAUGUCGGAUUAGCUAGUUGGCGGGGUAAAGGCCCACCAAGGCGACGAUCCGUAGCUGGUCUGAGAGGAUGAUCAGCCACACUGGAACUGAGACACGGUCCAGACUCCUACGGGAGGCAGCAGUGGGGAAUAUUGGACAAUGGGCGCAAGCCUGAUCCAGCCAUACCGCGUGGGUGAAGAAGGCCUUCGGGUUGUAAAGACCUUUUGUUGGGAAAGAAAAGCAGCAGGUUAAUACCCCGCUGUUCUGACGGUACCCAAAGAAUAAGCACCGGCUAACUUCGUG
Molecule: ribosomal RNA, 492 nt
Filed under: uncultured bacterium
Lineage: Bacteria
Description: partial 16S ribosomal RNA
Rfam family: Bacterial small subunit ribosomal RNA
Source: RNAcentral